CCUAAUCCUUGGGAUGUCAUUAAGUAAUGAUCAUUGUUUCACGGUGUAUGCUGAAAGCCAAUAUCAAUCUCCCUAAAUUCUGGAUGAAGUUAAACACAGUAUACUUGAAGACAUAAGAAGAGCCAUACAUGGAAGUUGACAUAAGACUCUGUUUCCAAUUCCCCUGGAAAUCUUUCUUCAACCAGGAUGCAAGUUUCAUCUAAAGUCUUCCAUCAAUCAACGAGCCAAAAAACCGGAGGACUACAGGAAACCUCAAGAUGUUCCACUCUGGGCCAGACUGAGCGAAUCUACCACAGACAGAUGAGAUUCUAUCCUACAUGGAAAGACAUUAUCGCGAUUCCAAAAAAGCUUCCUUACUGCUCUCUUUUGGGAAAUAAUUCACUGAAUGGAAUUAAUUUGGCAUCCUUUCAUGGGAAAGCGAUAAGCUCCAUUCAUGACC
This is a long non-coding RNA of Ornithorhynchus anatinus (platypus), 439 nucleotides long. RefSeq lists it as uncharacterized. The transcript has 3 exons. Lineage: Eukaryota; Metazoa; Chordata; Mammalia; Monotremata; Ornithorhynchidae. The record is from RefSeq and is a predicted model, not a curated record.